CGGGUGAGUAACACGUGGAUAACCUACCUAUAAGACUGGGAUAACUUCGGGAAACCGGAGCUAAUACCGGAUAAUAUAUUGAACCGCAUGGUUCAAUAGUGAAAGACGGUUUUGCUGUCACUUAUAGAUGGAUCCGCGCCGCAUUAGCUAGUUGGUAAGGUAACGGCUUACCGAGGCAACGAUGCGUAGCCGACCUGAGAGGGUGAUAGGCCACACUGGAACUGAGACACGGUCCAGACUCCUACGGGAGGCAGCAGCA
This 259-nucleotide ribosomal RNA is filed under the name uncultured Staphylococcus sp. Its description in RNAcentral is "partial 16S ribosomal RNA". It matches the Rfam family "Bacterial small subunit ribosomal RNA", at positions 103 to 355 of the family's 1533-position model. Lineage: Bacteria; Bacillati; Bacillota; Bacilli; Caryophanales; Staphylococcaceae. The record is from RNAcentral.